UGAACGCUGGCGGCAGGCCUAACACAUGCAAGUCGAGCGGCAGCACGGGUACUUGUACCUGGUGGCGAGCGGCGGACGGGUGAGUAAUGCCUAGGAAUCUGCCUGGUAGUGGGGGAUAACGCUCGGAAACGGACGCUAAUACCGCAUACGUCCUACGGGAGAAAGCAGGGGACCUUCGGGCCUUGCGCUAUCAGAUGAGCCUAGGUCGGAUUAGCUAGUUGGUGAGGUAAUGGCUCACCAAGGCGACGAUCCGUAACUGGUCUGAGAGGAUGAUCAGUCACACUGGAACUGAGACACGGUCCAGACUCCUACGGGAGGCAGCAGUGGGGAAUAUUGGACAAUGGGCGAAAGCCUGAUCCAGCGACGCCGCGUGUGUGAAGAAGGCCUGCGGGUUGUAAAGCACUUUUAGUGGGGAGGAAAACACCUGACCUAAUACGUCAGGAAUUGACUUAACCCAAAGAAAAACGCACCGGCUAACUCUGUGCCAGCAG
This 491-nucleotide ribosomal RNA is filed under the name uncultured bacterium. Its description in RNAcentral is "bacterial SSU rRNA". It matches the Rfam family "Bacterial small subunit ribosomal RNA", at positions 30 to 514 of the family's 1533-position model. The record is from RNAcentral.